RNAcentral lists this ribosomal RNA (253 nucleotides) under uncultured bacterium. RNAcentral's name for it is "partial 16S ribosomal RNA". It matches the Rfam family "Bacterial small subunit ribosomal RNA", at positions 524 to 776 of the family's 1533-position model. The record is from RNAcentral.
GACGAACCGAGCGAACGUUGUUCGGAAUCACUGGGCUUAAAGGGCGCGUAGGCGGGCGGCCGCGUCCGGGGUGAAAUCCUCCCGCCCAACGGGAGAACGGCCUCGGAUACGGGCGGCCUCGAGGGGGGUAGGGGCAGGCGGAACUGUGGGUGGAGCGGUGAAAUGCGUUGAGAUCCACAGGAACUCCGGUGGCGAAGGCGGCCUGCUGGACCCCUCUUGACGCUGAGGCGCGAAAGCCAGGGGAGCGAACGGG